RNAcentral lists this ribosomal RNA (490 nucleotides) under uncultured bacterium. RNAcentral describes it as "partial 16S ribosomal RNA". It matches the Rfam family "Bacterial small subunit ribosomal RNA", at positions 29 to 507 of the family's 1533-position model. The record is from RNAcentral.
AGUGAACGCUGGCGGCAGGCCUAACACAUGCAAGUCGAACGGCAGCACAAGAUCGCUUGCUCUCUGGGUGGCGAGUGGCGGGCGGGUGAGGUAUGCAUCGGCAUCUGCUCAUUUGUGGGGGAUAACCUCGGGAAACCGGGACUAAUACCGCAUACGACCUACGGGUGAAAGCUGGGGAUCUUCGGUCCUUGCGCAGAGGGAUGCGCCGAUGCCGGAUUAGCUAGUUGGAGGGGUUCAGGCCCACCAAGGCGACGAGCCGUAGCUGGUCUGAGAGGAUGCUCAGCCACACUGGAACUGAGACACGGCCCAGACGCCUACGGGAGGCAGCAGUGGGGAAUAUUGGACAAUGGGCGCAAGCCUGAUCCAGCCAUGCCGCGUGUGUGAAGAAGGCCUUCGGGUUGUAAAGCACUUUUGUUGGGAAAGAAAAGCAGCCGGUUAAUACCCGGUUGUCAUGACGGUACCCAAAGAAUAAGCACCGGCUAACUUCGUG